Molecule: ribosomal RNA, 214 nt
Filed under: uncultured bacterium
Lineage: Bacteria
Description: partial 16S ribosomal RNA
Rfam family: Bacterial small subunit ribosomal RNA
Source: RNAcentral
GACGAACGCUGGCGGCGUGCUUAACACAUGCAAGUCGAGCGGUAAGGCCCUUUCGGGGGUACACGAGCGGCGAACGGGUGAGUAACACGUGGGUGACCUGCCCUCAGCUCUGGGAUAAGCCUGGGAAACUGGGUCUAAUACUGGAUAUGACUCCACGGUGCAUGUCGUGGGGUGGAAAGCCUUGUGCGGCUGAGGAUGGGCCCGCGGCCUAUCA